Molecule: long non-coding RNA, 440 nt
Filed under: Felis catus (domestic cat)
Lineage: Eukaryota; Metazoa; Chordata; Mammalia; Carnivora; Felidae
Description: lncRNA (ENSFCAG00000049326.1)
Source: RNAcentral
GGACUGGCUUCUCUGCCUUGGACUCUGACAUGAUCAUAUGAUGAUGUACACUAAUGUACUCUAAACAAUUCAUUUCAUUGUUUCUUGCCCUUUCUGGUGAGGAAUUUAAUCCGUUCUGUUCCAGCUCCUCCCCUUCACAGCAGAUGGAUUUUGCUGUUCCGUGGAAAGAACUCUAAGCCAGGAAUCAAGAACUGUGACCUUACACAUUUAUAAGAUGUAACAAGACCCCCUUGGAGCACAGAUGCUACCCAAUAUGGAUUGUGCACCCUGCAGUCACUCACCUUGGGCCCUGGUCAGGUAUAAAUAUUUAAUUCCAAUUUAGUAAUCCCUCAACUAAUAAUGGCUAUAAGAAUCAUUUAUUCUAGUUUGGUUUAAUUAUUUGUUGCUUGACCUAAAUUCUGCAAAUUCUUUCCUAUAUGCCUUCACAUUCUGUUCUUGAG